Long non-coding RNA from Salarias fasciatus (jewelled blenny), 238 nucleotides. RefSeq lists it as uncharacterized. The record is from RefSeq and is a predicted model, not a curated record. The transcript has 3 exons. NCBI's taxonomy places the organism in Eukaryota, Metazoa, Chordata, Actinopteri, Blenniiformes, Blenniidae.
GACAAGGAAGAAGGAGGAGUUAAAUCACACCAACACCUGACAUAGACAUCCAUUCUCACUGUAAGAGUGUUCACACUGGGCUUUGAAAGGUCACAGGUCAUUUGUCUAAUGGAUUACUCCCCUGUACCGAGGCAUUCAUUACUGCCUCUGACCUCACUGUAGAAUAAUAUUGGAUUUACUGCCUCAUAUUGUUUUACCUAGAAGGGAAGAGAAAUCCGUUUUCUCCUCGGGAAAACAA